This 470-nucleotide ribosomal RNA is filed under the name uncultured Cryptanaerobacter sp. RNAcentral describes it as "bacterial SSU rRNA". It matches the Rfam family "Bacterial small subunit ribosomal RNA", at positions 920 to 1382 of the family's 1533-position model. Lineage: Bacteria; Bacillati; Bacillota; Clostridia; Eubacteriales; Desulfotomaculaceae. The record is from RNAcentral.
CCCGGCACAAGCGGUGGAGCAUGUGGUUUAAUUCGACGCAACGCGAAGAACCUUACCAGGGCUUUGACAUCCUCUGACCGCAUAUGAAAGUAUGUUUUCUGGCUUCGGUCAGACAGAGAGACAGGUGGUGCAUGGUUGUCGUCAGCUCGUGUCGUGAGAUGUUGGGUUAAGUCCCGCAACGAGCGCAACCCCUACGUUUAGUUGCUAACGUGUAACGAUGAGCACUCUAGGCGGACUGCCGUUGACAAAACGGAGGAAGGUGGGGAUGACGUCAAAUCAUCAUGCCCCUUAUGUUCUGGGCUACACACGUGCUACAAUGGCCGGUACAAAGGGACGCAAAGCCGCGAGGUGGAGCAAAUCCGAUAAAAGCCGGUCUCAGUUCGGAUUGCAGGCUGCAAUUCGCCUGCAUGAAGUCGGAAUCGCUAGUAAUCGCAGGUCAGCAUACUGCGGUGAAUACGUUCCCGGGCCUU